GGGUCAAUAGGUUGGUCGUGCCACCGGUACGUACUGGUCUCACUGAUUCCUCCUUCCUGAAGAACCGUAAUGCCAUUAAUUUGGUGUUGCGGGGAGACAGGACUGUUACUUUGAAAAAAUUAGAGUGUUUAAAGCAAGCUAACGCUUGAAUACAUUAGCAUGGAAUAAUGAAAUAGGACGAUCGAUCCUAUUUUGUUGGUUUCUAGGAUUGACGUA
This 216-nucleotide ribosomal RNA is filed under the name Glomeromycotina sp. RNAcentral describes it as "partial small subunit ribosomal RNA". The stretch from base 40 to 216 matches the Rfam family "Eukaryotic small subunit ribosomal RNA", at positions 686 to 864 of the family's 1831-position model. Lineage: Eukaryota; Fungi; Glomeromycota. The record is from RNAcentral.